RNAcentral lists this unclassified non-coding RNA (523 nucleotides) under Staphylococcus aureus subsp. aureus USA300_TCH1516. RNAcentral describes it as "noncoding RNA SprE". The record is from RNAcentral. Lineage: Bacteria; Bacillati; Bacillota; Bacilli; Caryophanales; Staphylococcaceae.
AGGAUAAGUGUUAGGUUACUAGGCCACUUAACAGGCUAUAUAGUUCACUCCUACUAUAUACAGUUAAUUAUAACAUAAAAAGCACCCCGUAAACUAUUAUACGGGAAUGCUAAAGUCAUAUAUACUACGAGGGAGUAGUAUGAAAACUAUGCUCUCUAUCAUAAGAAAAAACACCCAGUGACAUGCUUGGGUGAACAAGGAUAGAUGUAAAUAGUUGAUGCAUGUGUAACACAUCAUAACAAAAAACUAGCCCGAAAGCUAGCUAUAACAUACAAUCUAAAAAGACGUCCCUUGAAUACGUCUAGAAAGAUUAUAACAUAAAAAAAUAGGCAAGUACCGAAGUACCUGCCUAAAAAAGGAUUAUCCACUUUUUCAUCCUAACUGAUUUCUCCCCAUAAGUCACCUAAUAUCUGAUUAGGUGGGGAAGAACCAUUCGUGCAUGAAUGAGAAUUUGAUGAAAGAUAAUUUUCACUACACAUAUUCAAUCAAGACAUUGCUUUCUAUAAUAAACAACUAUUUUGUU